UUUUCAAACAGUGUUGUAUUACUAUUGGUGAGUAAGGUGACCAGAAAUCUUGGGGGAAUUGGAGGUAGAAUCGGCAACGCGCUUGCGAUGCUUUUGGUGUUGCAGACGUCUAUAAGCGCUAAUCGCUUACCAUCAGGUGAUACGUACACUUGUUGUCCGACCUAGUUAUGUAACUUUUA
Melitaea cinxia (Glanville fritillary) is the source of this 179-nucleotide long non-coding RNA. RefSeq lists it as uncharacterized. The record is from RefSeq and is a predicted model, not a curated record. Lineage: Eukaryota; Metazoa; Arthropoda; Insecta; Lepidoptera; Nymphalidae. The transcript is spliced from 2 exons.